GGAGUUAGCCGGUGCUUCUUCUGCGAGUAACGUCACAGAUGUAAGGUAUUAACUUACACCCUUUCCUCCUCGCUGAAAGUGCUUUACAACCCGAAGGCCUUCUUCACACACGCGGCAUGGCUGCAUCAGGGUUUCCCCCAUUGUGCAAUAUUCCCCACUGCUGCCUCCCGUAGGAGUCUGGGCCGUGUCUCAGUCCCAGUGUGGCUGAUCAUCCUCUCAGACCAGCUAGGGAUCGUCGCCUAGGUGAGCCUUUACCUCACCUACUAGCUAAUCCCACCUGGGCUUAUCCAUCAGCGCAAGGCCCGAAGGUCCCCUGCUUUCCCCCGUAGGGCGUAUGCGGUAUUAGCAGUCGUUUCCAACUGUUAUCCCCCACAAAUGGGCAAAUUCCCAGGCAUUACUCACCCGUCCGCCGCUCGUCAUCUUCAAAAGCAAGCUUUUGAAAUGUUACCGCUCGACUUGCAUGUGUUAGCUGCCGCCAGCGUUCAAUCUGAGCCGAGGAUACAAACUACUGA
Molecule: ribosomal RNA, 512 nt
Filed under: uncultured bacterium
Lineage: Bacteria
Description: partial 16S ribosomal RNA
Source: RNAcentral